AGAGUUUGAUCCUGGCUCAGGGUGAAUGCUAGCGGCGUGCUUAAGAUAUGCAAGUUGAACGCGCCUAUGCUCUUUACUGCGUAAAGAGCUUCGGCGCCGCAGGCGCACUAUUAAAGAUGGGUGAGCUUGCUGCGCCAGAGCUCAUGCGUAGCAAUGAGCGUAGGCGAGUGGCGGACGGCUGAGUAACACGUAGAAAUCUACCCCUAUCCCGGGUAUAACUCAUCGAAAGAUGGGCUAAUCCCCGAUAGUCCACGUGCAUUUAUGUUAUGUGGUAAAGAUUUAUCGGAUAAGGAUGAGUCUGCGGCCUAUCAGGUAGUUGGUGGGGUAAAUGCCCACCAAGCCCAUGACGGGUAGCUGGUGUUAGCGCAUGUCCAGCCAGAAAGGCACUGAGACACGGGCCUUACCCCUACGGGAGGCAGCAAUCGGGAAUCUUGCACAAUGGACGAAAGUCUGAUGCAGCGACGCCGCGUGAGGGAUGAAUGCCUUCGGGUUGUAAACCUCGUUUAAGCACCGGCUAACUACGUGCCAGCAGCAGCGGUCAUACGUAGGGUGCCAGCAUUACCCGGUGUUACUGGGCGUAAAGAGUUCUGUAGGCGGAUCUGCAAGUCAGAGGUCAAAUACUUCGGCUCAACUGAAGUAAUGCUUUUGAUACUGUAGAUCUGGAGGCAACUAGGGGGUAGCGGAACGUAUGGUGUAGCGGUGAAAUGCGUUGAUAUCAUACGGAACACCAAGGGGGAAGCCAGCUACCUGGGGUUGAUCUGACGCUGAGAGACGAAAGCGUGGGGAGCAAAACGGAUUAGAUACCCGUGUAGUCCACGCCCUAAACUAUGCCUGCUAGAUGCUCCAUUUAUUUGGGGUGUCAAAGUUAACGCGUUAAGCAGGCCGCCUGGGGAGUACAAUCGCAAGGUUAAAACUCAAACGGAAUUGGCGGGGACCCGCACAAGCGGUGGAGCAUGCUCUUUAAUUGGCUGAUAACCCAAGAACCUUACCAGGACUUGACAUUCUUCGAGUAGCGAUCCGAAAGGUGAGCGACCCGUAUCCAGUCGGGAAGAUGAACAGGUGUUGCAUGGCUGUCGUCAGCUCGUACCGUGAGGCGUACCCUUAAGUGGGUCAACGAGCGCAACCCCUACUGUUAGUUGUAUCACUCUAACGGAACUGCCUCGGCAACGGGGAGGAAGGUGGGGACGACGUCAAGUCAGUAUUGCCCUUACGUCCUGGGCGAGAAGCAUGCUACAAUGGCCGGCACAACGAGUUGCGAUACCGCGAGGUGGAGCUAAUCUCUAAAAACCGGUCUCAGUUCGGAUUGGAGUCUGCAAUUCGACUCCAUGAAGUUGGAAUCGCUAGUAAUCGCAGGUCAGCUAUACUGCGGUGAAUACGUUCUCGGGCCUUGCACACACCG
Molecule: ribosomal RNA, 1399 nt
Filed under: uncultured bacterium
Lineage: Bacteria
Description: bacterial SSU rRNA
Rfam family: Bacterial small subunit ribosomal RNA
Source: RNAcentral